This 2223-nucleotide ribosomal RNA is filed under the name human gut metagenome. Its description in RNAcentral is "bacterial LSU rRNA". It matches the Rfam family "Bacterial large subunit ribosomal RNA", at positions 183 to 2488 of the family's 2925-position model. The record is from RNAcentral.
ACCGCCUGAACUGAAACAUCUAAGUAGGGCGAGGAAGAGAAAUCAACCGAGAUUCCGCUAGUAGUGGCGAGCGAACGCGGAAGAGGGCAAACCGGAGGAUUUAUCCUCCGGGGUUGUGGACAGUUUUUUAGCAACUGGAACUAGGAGAACGGUAUGGGAAGGCCGGCCAUAGCGGGUGAUAGCCCCGUAUCCGAAAGGGAAGGUUGUGCGACUGGAUCCAGAGUACCGCCGGACACGUGAAACCCGGUGGGAAGCUGGGGGGACCACCCUCCAACCCUAAAUACUACCUGAUGACCGAUAGAGGAGCAGUACCGUGAGGGAAAGGUGAAAAGGACCCCGGGAGGGGAGUGAAAGAGAACCUGAAACCUUGUGCUUACAAGCACUCAAAGCCCGUUAAAGGGUGAUGAGGUACCUUUUGUAGAAUGGUCCGGCGAGUUAUUGUUACUGGCAAGCUUAAGGCAUUCAGUGCCGGAGGCGCAGGGAGACCGAGUCUGAAUAGGGCGUAUGAAGUCAGUGGCAAUAGACCCGAAACCGGGUGACCUAUCCAUGGGCAGGUUGAAGUGGGGGUAAAACCCCAUGGAGGACCGAACGCACGCCCGUUGCAAUGGUCGGCGAUGACCUGUGGAUAGCGGUGAAAUUCCAAUCGAACUCGGAGAUAGCUGGUUCUCCCCGAAAUAGCUUUAGGGCUAGCGUUGGCUUAGAUUACCGGAGGUAAAGCACUGAAUGGGCUAGGGGCCGAUAAGGUUACUGAACCCUAUCAAACUCUGAAUGCCGGAUAAUUGAUGGCCAGCAGUCAGUCUACGUGAGAUAAGUCUCGUGGACAAAAGGGAAACAGCCCAGACCCACAGCUAAGGUCCCAAAGAUACGCUAAGUGGAAAACGAUGUGGAGUUGCGAAAACAACCAGGAUGUUGGCUUAGAAGCAGCCACUCAUUAAAAGAGUGCGUAAUAGCUCACUGGUCGAGUGACUCUGCGCGGAAAAUAUAACGGGGCUAAGCGUAACACCGAAGCUUGGGCUGCACAGCAAUGUGCGGGGUAGGGGAGCGUCGAAUAUGGGGUGAAGUCGCAGCGGAAGCAGCGGUGGACUGUAUUCGAGUGAGAAUGCCGGAAUGAGUAGCGAGAAUUAUGUGGGAAUCAUAAUGGCCGAAAAUCUAAGGUUUCUUGGGGAAGGUUCGUCCGCCCAAGGUAAGCCGGGAGCUAAGGCGAGGCCGAAAGGCGUAGUCGAUGCACAUACGGUUGAAAUUCCGUAGCCACCGAACCUUAAGUACACUGACACAUGGAGAUAGCGGGACCCGGGCGUUGGUUGACCCGGGCGUAAGGGACCGAACUUUAGUAGGGAAGUCCGCGAUGCUCUGUGGCGAGAAAAGGUGUAUGGUAUGCUAAGGUGCCCGUACCGCAAACCGACACAGGUAGAUGAGGAGAGAAUCCUAAGGCCAACGGGAGAAGGGUUGUUAAGGAACUCGGCAAAAUUACCCCGUAACUUCGGGAUAAGGGGAGCCCCCUACGGGGGGCCGCAGAGAAUAGGCCCAAGCGACUGUUUACCAAAAACACAGGUCUAUGCUAAAUCGAAAGAUGACGUAUAUGGGCUGACGCCUGCCCGGUGCUGGAAGGUUAAGAGGAGAGCUUAGCGCAAGCGAAGGUUUGAAUUGAAGCCCCAGUAAACGGCGGCCGUAACUAUAACGGUCCUAAGGUAGCGAAAUUCCUUGUCAGGUAAGUUCUGACCCGCACGAAUGGCGUAACGAUUUGGGCGCUGUCUCAACAGCCCACCCGGCGAAAUUGUAGUACUGGUGAAGAUGCCAGUUACCCGCAACUAGACGGAAAGACCCCAUGGAGCUUUACUGUAGCUUAAUACUGGAAAUCGGUAAAUCAUGUACAGGAUAGGUGGGAGACUUGGAAGCCAGGGCGUCAGCUUUGGUGGAGUCACCCUUGGGAUACCACCCUUGAUUUGCUGGUUUUCUAACCUGCGGCCGUGAAUCCGGUCGGGGGACACUGUUAGGUGGGCAGUUUGACUGGGGCGGUCGCCUCCUAAAAGGUAACGGAGGCGCUCAAAGGUUCGUUCAGCACGGACGGAAACCGUGCAGUGAGUGUAAACGCAUAAACGAGCCUAACUGCGAGACCGACGGGUCGAGCAGUAACGAAAGUUGGAGUUAGUGAUCCGGCGGUAUGUGAGUGGAAAUGCCGUCGCUCAACGGAUAAAAGCUACCCUGGGGAUAACAGGCUGAUCU